RNAcentral lists this ribosomal RNA (259 nucleotides) under uncultured prokaryote. Its description in RNAcentral is "partial 16S ribosomal RNA". It matches the Rfam family "Bacterial small subunit ribosomal RNA", at positions 524 to 782 of the family's 1533-position model. The record is from RNAcentral.
UACGUAGGUGGCGAGCGUUAUCCGGAAUUAUUGGGCGUAAAGAGCGCGCAGGUGGUUGAUUAAGUCUGAUGUGAAAGCCCACGGCUUAACCGUGGAGGGUCAUUGGAAACUGGUCGACUUGAGUGCAGAAGAGGGAAGUGGAAUUCCAUGUGUAGCGGUGAAAUGCGUAGAGAUAUGGAGGAACACCAGUGGCGAAGGCGGCUUCCUGGUCUGUAACUGACACUGAGGCGCGAAAGCGUGAGGAGCAAACAGGAUUAGA